GACGAACGCUGGCGGCGUGCUUAACACAUGCAAGUCGAACGGAAAGGCCCUGCUUUUGUGGGGUGCUCGAGUGGCGAACGGGUGAGUAACACGUGAGUAACCUGCCCUUGACUUUGGGAUAACUUCAGGAAACUGGGGCUAAUACCGGAUAGGAGCUCCUGCUGCAUGGUGGGGGUUGGAAAGGUUCGGCGGUUGGGGAUGGACUCGAGGCUUAUCAGCUUGUUGGUGGGGUAGUGGCUUACCAAGGCUUUGACGGGUAGCCGGCCUGAGAGGGUGACCGGCCACAUUGGGACUGAGAUACGGCCCAGACUCCUACGGGAGGCAGCGGUGGGGAAUAUUGCACAAUGGGCGGAAGCCUGAUGCAGCAACGCCGCGUGCGGGAUGACGGCCUUCGGGUUGUAAACCGCUUUCGCCUGUGACGAAGCGUGAGUGACGGUAAUGGGUAAAGAAGCACCGGCUAACUACGUG
Molecule: ribosomal RNA, 468 nt
Filed under: uncultured bacterium
Lineage: Bacteria
Description: partial 16S ribosomal RNA
Rfam family: Bacterial small subunit ribosomal RNA
Source: RNAcentral